This is an unclassified non-coding RNA of Macaca mulatta (Rhesus monkey), 148 nucleotides long. It matches the Rfam family "Metazoan signal recognition particle RNA". Rfam says of the family: The signal recognition particle (SRP) is a universally conserved ribonucleoprotein. Lineage: Eukaryota; Metazoa; Chordata; Mammalia; Primates; Cercopithecidae. The record is from Ensembl.
GCCGGGUGUGGUGGCGCACAUCUGUAUUCCCAGCCACUUGGGAGGCUGAGGCACGAGAAUUGCUUGAACCUGGGAGGUGGAGGUUGCAGUGAGCCAAGAUAACGCCACUGCACUUCAGCCUGGGUGACAAAGCAAGAUUCUGUCUCAA